GGAUCAGGUGUAUCCUCCACAGC
RNAcentral lists this non-coding RNA (23 nucleotides) under Arabidopsis thaliana (thale cress). The record is from RNAcentral. Lineage: Eukaryota; Viridiplantae; Streptophyta; Magnoliopsida; Brassicales; Brassicaceae.